Molecule: ribosomal RNA, 466 nt
Filed under: uncultured bacterium
Lineage: Bacteria
Description: bacterial SSU rRNA
Rfam family: Bacterial small subunit ribosomal RNA
Source: RNAcentral
CCCUGACUCCUACGGGAGGCAGCAGUGAGGAAUAUUGGUCAAUGGCCGUAAGGCUGAACCAGCCAAGUAGCGUGAGGGAAGACUGCCCUAUGGGUUGUAAACCUCUUUUGCCGGGGAGCAAGCGUGCGUUCGUGAACGCGCGUCGAGAGUACCCGGAGAAAAAGCAUCGGCUAACUCCGUGCCAGCAGCCGCGGUAAUACGGAGGAUGCGAGCGUUAUCCGGAUUUAUUGGGUUUAAAGGGUGCGUAGGCGGGAUGCCAAGUCAGCGGUAAAAAUGCGGGGCUCAACGCCGUCGAGCCGUUGAAACUGGCGUUCUUGAGUGGGCGAGAAGUAUGCGGAAUGCGUGGUGUAGCGGUGAAAUGCAUAGAUAUCACGCAGAACUCCGAUUGCGAAGGCAGCAUACCGGCGCCCUACUGACGCUGAGGCACGAAAGCGUGGGUAUCGAACAGGAUUAGAUACCCGCGUAC